AUUGGGCGAGAAUAACAUGCAGUUCUGUCACCUACGACUUUUUGACUGGCAGAAUUUGCAGUAUAAAUUUUAUUAUAUUUAUGAAGGCUUAUUUUUAGUUUUCAGUUUUUGAUUGUAUGCUUCCCUGAUUUGUUUUGGAUGGGCAGCUGGAUAAAUUGCUAACUAAAUCAAAUGAGCAGUGGCGGGGUUUUUGUGAUGUGAAUGUCCAUCUUCAGGUGCUUUUCCUGGUGAAGCUGAUAUUGACAUUCAUGACUUCCUUUUGUUCAUAGUUCCCUAUUGACUUUGUUGAAUUUUUAAAAAGUUGUAAGUAUUCUGUUGAAUACAUAUACACUAUUCAAUUCUAUUUAGGCCGCCCAAAUAAGGAUGCACUGGAAAGAUGCCGAUUAUACUUCAGAAUUAUUAAUUGACAUUUUUAUGAUGAAUAAUUAAUCAUUGGAAUAAUUUUUGUAUCUCUGAUCUGAACACAUAUUUGCAUAUCUAAUGUCUGAUUUUAAAUGUGGUUUCUUCAGUUGCAUUCCCUAGGACAAAGAAGUAAGAAACAAUGUAAAGGAAUUUUUCCCUCCUUUUUGCUUGCAGAAAAGUAUUAUAGUCCUAGAAAAAUACUGUGUGUCUACUGAACAAUUCCAGCUCAAAGCUUUGGAGAUGGAAGCUGCCAAUUCCUAGCUAUUUAGUUAGAUGGGAGAUAUAAGCUCAGAGGAAGGCUGCUUUUUCGUACUCAGCUGCCUGGGAUUUGAUAGUUGUGAACUCAGUGGAGCUUACUUCUGAUUAGAUGUGCAUAGGAUUGCACCAUGCCUGCACCAAUGCUUCUCAGCUCUAUUCAGCCUUGCAAGAAAGUCAUGUUACUUGGCUAAAAAGAUGACAUCAUAUUACUGAGAAAUAUGAUCUUGGAACAUUAGUGGCAUUUGCUUCUAGAGGUCUGGAGAUUUGACUAGGUCUUGGGAAGGAUAAUGGUCCAUGUAUUGUGAACACAACAACAACAACAACUUGUAUGCCGCCCAACUCUCAAUGACUCUGGGUGGCAAAGUCAAGUGGCUCAAGGUCUUGGAUACUAAAGAGCAGUUGAAACAAAAAGCUCUUAUCACUGAGCUGCAUGAACAAUAUUGCUUGUUAAAACAGUUUCAUUCUCAUAAAAGAUAGAUACUUGAUGAUAUUUAAUAAGAACUUUGUGUUAUUGAUGGAAAACAUGUUUGAUAUUUAAAAAUAACAGUUACUAAGAUCUUCUGUUUUCUGUCCCCUAACUGCAUUGGCAAAUAAAAAGUACAGCUGUUCAAAUUA
This is a long non-coding RNA of Candoia aspera, 1275 nucleotides long. RefSeq lists it as uncharacterized. The record is from RefSeq and is a predicted model, not a curated record. NCBI's taxonomy places the organism in Eukaryota, Metazoa, Chordata, Lepidosauria, Squamata, Candoiidae. The transcript has 3 exons.